This 460-nucleotide ribosomal RNA is filed under the name uncultured bacterium. Its description in RNAcentral is "partial 16S ribosomal RNA". It matches the Rfam family "Bacterial small subunit ribosomal RNA", at positions 338 to 795 of the family's 1533-position model. The record is from RNAcentral.
CCUACGGGAGGCUGCAGUGAGGACUAUUGGUCGAUGGACGAGAGUCUGAACCAGCCAAGUAGCGUGAAGGAUGACUGCCCUAUGGGUUGUAAACUUCUUUUAUAAAGGAAUAAAACGAGGCACGUGUGCCUUUUUGCAUGUACUUUAUGACUAAGGAUCGGCUAACUCCGUGCCAGCAGCCGCGGUAAUACGGAGGAUCCGAGCGUUAUCCGGAUUUAUUGGGUUUAAAGGGAGCGUAGAUGGGUUGUUAAGUCAGUUGUGAAAGUUUGCGGCUCAACCGUAAAAUUGCAAUUGAUACUGGCAGUCGUGAGUACAGUUGAGGUAAGCGGAAUUCGUGGUGUAGCGGUGAAAUGCUUCGAUAUCACGAAGAACCCCGAUUGCGAAGGCAGCUUACUAAACUGUGACUGACAUUGAUGCUCGAAAGUGUGGGUAUCAAACAGGAUUAGAUACCCUUGUAGUC